RNAcentral lists this long non-coding RNA (288 nucleotides) under Medicago truncatula (barrel medic). RNAcentral's name for it is "long non-coding RNA (MTRU_LNC008451)". Lineage: Eukaryota; Viridiplantae; Streptophyta; Magnoliopsida; Fabales; Fabaceae. The record is from RNAcentral.
GGGUUUUCAGUAAAAGAGAAGAUUUUGUGUGAAAAAUGAAGGAGUCCAAAGUUGGAAUAAGAAUCAAUGAGUUUGGAGGAAAGAGAAGAGUUUUGAUGGAGACCAUGGAGGAAGAAUCUAGCAUGGAUUUGUUGAAGGUAUUGUGGUUUUGUGCAGAGAUUUAAUAUAGAAGAGGUUGUGUUGAAAAACCUUGUUGUUUGAAAAGGUUUAAUGUUCGUGAUUUUGAGAAUGUUAAGGUAGACCAUGUCUAGAACUUAACCAAAGGCAUCUGAUCGCGCGCUACUUACU